This 975-nucleotide ribosomal RNA is filed under the name Argna bielzi. RNAcentral's name for it is "partial 16S ribosomal RNA". Lineage: Eukaryota; Metazoa; Mollusca; Gastropoda; Stylommatophora; Argnidae. The record is from RNAcentral.
AAUUAUUAUAAAAAUUUUAUCAACCCGAUAAAUUUUGAUCAAUGUUACUUUUUUAAAAAAAUUAAUUUUAAUAGAAAGCUUGUGUCAAAACUCUUCAAUUAAAAGUAUCAUAGAAAUGAAAUAUUUUCAAAAAAUUUGAUUUCUGGAUUAAGCUUAAAUGUAUUUAGUACAAAUAAAUAAGUGAAUAUAAAAGUGAUCAGAUUUUUAUAUUUAAUGAGUAUAAUCUAAAUUUAAAUUUAGUAUUAACAAAGGAUACUUAUAAUUAUUUUUUUUCAAAUUUUGAAAUUAUAUAUAAUUGAUUUAGAAAAUAUUAAAUUUCUCUUUUAAAUUAGCUUAAAUACUUUUAUCAAAUUUAUUUUAAAUAAUAUCAAUAAUGUUUAAAUUAGUCAAAAUCCAAAAAAAUUUUGGAAAGGAACUCGGCAAAAAAUCUUUUCUUUCAACUGUUUAUCAAAAACAUAGCUUGUUGAAAUAAAGUAUACAAAUUUAAUUUAUAUACAUUUAAUAUUUUAUAAUAGGUGAAACCUGCCCAAUGAGAAUUAUUUUUAAACGGCCGCAGUACUUUGACUGUGCUAAGGUAGCAAAAUAAUUUGGCUUUCAAUUGGAGUCGGGAAUGAAUGGAAUAAUGUAAGAAAACUGUCUUCUCUAAAUUUUUUUUUAAUUUACUAAAAAGGUGAAAAUACCUUUAUUUAGAUAUGAUAGACGAGAAGACCCUAAGAAUUAUUUACCAAAGUUUUUUAAAUUUACAAAUUUAUAAAAGAUUAAGUUUUUGUUGGGGCAACAAUUUUGGAAAAAUUAUUUAAUCAAAAUUAUUUUCUUUAAAUAAAGUUUAAACAAAUCAAAGUUUAUUUUAAUUGAAUUUAAUUACCUUAGGGAUAACAGCAUAAUUUAUUUAUAAGAUUGUGACCUCGAUGUUGGACUAGGAAAUUUUUCUAUUAGAAAUAGAUAAAUAAGGUUCUGUUCGAACUUAAUCUCCUA